GACGAACGCUGGCGGCGUGCUUAACACAUGCAAGUCGAACGGAAAGGCCCUGCUUUUGUGGGGUGCUCGAGUGGCGAACGGGUGAGUAACACGUGAGUAACCUGCCCUUGACUUUGGGAUAACUUCAGGAAACUGGGGCUAAUACCGGAUAGGAGCUCCUGCUGCAUGGUGGGGGUUGGAAAGUUUCGGCGGUUGGGGAUGGACUCGCGGCUUAUCAGCUUGUUGGUGGGGUAGUGGCUUACCAAGGCUUUGACGGGUAGCCGGCCUGAGAGGGUGACCGGCCAAAUUGGGACUGAGAUACGGCACAGACUCCUACGGGAGGCAGCAGUGGGGAAGAUUGCACAAUGGGCGGAAGCCUGAUGCAGCAACGCCGCGUGCGGGAUGACGGCCUUGGGGUUGUAAACCGCUUUCGCCUGUGACGAAGCGUGAGUGACGGUAAUGGGUAAAGAAGCACCGGCUAACUACGUG
This 468-nucleotide ribosomal RNA is filed under the name uncultured bacterium. Its description in RNAcentral is "partial 16S ribosomal RNA". It matches the Rfam family "Bacterial small subunit ribosomal RNA", at positions 28 to 507 of the family's 1533-position model. The record is from RNAcentral.